Molecule: small RNA, 282 nt
Filed under: Gorilla gorilla gorilla (western lowland gorilla)
Lineage: Eukaryota; Metazoa; Chordata; Mammalia; Primates; Hominidae
Description: Metazoan signal recognition particle RNA (ENSGGOG00000038060.1)
Source: RNAcentral
GCUGGGUGCAGUAGCUUACACCUGUAAUCCCAGCACUUUGGGAGGCCGAGGCAGAUGGAUUGCUUGAGGUCAGGAGUUUGAGACCAGCCUGGCCGACAUGGUGAAACCCCAUCUCUACUAAAAAUACAAAAAUUAGCUGGACUUGGUGGCAGGCGCCUGUAAUCCCAGCUACUCAGGAGGCUGAGGCAGGAGAAUCACUUGAACCUGGGUGGUGGAGGUUGCAGUGAGCCAAGAUGGCGCCACUGCACUCAAGCCUGGGCAACACAGUGAGACUCUGUCUCA